CUGGGAUCCUAAUUUAGACUAUUGUUUG
Molecule: transfer RNA, 28 nt
Filed under: Tropheus brichardi
Lineage: Eukaryota; Metazoa; Chordata; Actinopteri; Cichliformes; Cichlidae
Description: partial tRNA-Pro
Source: RNAcentral